UACGUAGGGGGCGAGCGUUGUCCGGAUUUAUUGGGCGUAGAGAGCUCGUAGGCGGUUCGAUAAGUCGGACGUGAAAUCUCCACGCUCAACGUGGAGGGGCCGUUCGAUACUGUCGUGACUCGAGUCCGGUAGGGGAGUGUGGAAUUCCCGGUGUAGCGGUGAAAUGCGCAGAGAUCGGGAGGAACACCCGUAGCGAAGGCGGCACUCUGGGCCGGUACUGACGCUGAGGUGCGAAAGCGUGGGGAGCAAACAGG
RNAcentral lists this ribosomal RNA (254 nucleotides) under uncultured bacterium. Its description in RNAcentral is "partial 16S ribosomal RNA". It matches the Rfam family "Bacterial small subunit ribosomal RNA", at positions 524 to 776 of the family's 1533-position model. The record is from RNAcentral.